AUUGUCCUCCCAUUUUCUUUACUUUGUCGCUACUUUUUCUCUCCAGAGAGUACUGACUUCGUUUACUUGGGUGUAGAGAGAGAAAGAGAGAGUUUUAGAGAGAGAAAGAGGGUAAUGAGAUGACAGAGGCGAGGAUGAUGAUGGAGUGGGAAAAGCAACAACAGCAACAGCAAGAAGAAUUGUUGUUGAAUGUGAACAACAGCAGCAACAACAACAAUGGAAUGUUUGUGAAGGUCAUGACUGAUGAGCAAAUGGAAGUCCUCCGCAAACAAAUCGCAGUCUACGCCACCAUUUGUGAAGAGCUCGUCGAAAUGCACAAAUCCCUCACUUCUCACCACGAUCUCACAGGAGUCAGGCUGGGAAAUCUAUAUUGUGAUCCAUUAGUGACAUCUGCUGGCCACAAAAUUACUGGCAGACAACGGUGGACUCCAACACCUGUGCAGCUUCAAAUCCUGGAGCGUAUCUUUGAUCAAGGGAAUGGGACUCCAAGCAAGCAGAAGAUCAAAGAGAUAACCUCCGAAUUGUCUCAACACGGCCAAAUUUCUGAAACAAAUGUCUAUAAUUGGUUUCAGAAUAGGCGUGCCCGAUCAAAAAGAAAGCAACAAGUUGCAGGAACAAGCAAUGCUGAAUCAGAAGUUGAAACAGAGGUUGAAUCACCGAAUGAGAAGAAGACUAAGCCAGAGGAUUUCCAGUCUCAGUCUAACCCACCACCAAUGGCCAAGGAUUUGUGUUUCCAGAACCCUGAGAAAAGCUCUGGGAUGCAGACUGUAGAUUCACAGUGCAACAAAAUGGAGCCCAUGUUUUCUUCAAAUGGCAGUUCAAAAUGUGAAAGGAGUUUGGGCCAAAUGCCUUUCUACAAGUGUAUGGCAUCCAACCCAAAUCAAUUCUGAGGCCUCAUGUAUUGAUGAUGCCAUUUUGUCCAAGUGAACGCAUUAUGCAUAUGGGAUUGGAAAGAUGGAAGCAUCGGGGAGCUAUAAUAAUUAUUUGCGUCAUACGGAAGAUUAUAACAUGGCAGAAUGACACUGUUAUCAGCUGUUGCUAUUUUCGAACAACAAAUUUAAAUUGUGACCAGAAGAUGGAUAAACCUCAGAUGGUUUACUAGCCUGGCUAGCAAUUAAAAGUAAAAAGAACUUUUUUUGUUUGUGAUAUAUAUGAUGGUUCUUUCUUGACCGGCAUAGUAAAGUUUAGUACUUAACAGUUUGUUAAUACCAAGGGCUUUCUUUCGCUGA
Cornus florida is the source of this 1229-nucleotide RNA transcript. It is a transcript of the gene named WUSCHEL-related homeobox 8, with no coding region annotated. Lineage: Eukaryota; Viridiplantae; Streptophyta; Magnoliopsida; Cornales; Cornaceae. The record is from RefSeq and is a predicted model, not a curated record. The transcript is spliced from 4 exons.